GGGGAUGUAGCUCAUAUAGUAGAACGCUUGCUUUGUAUGCAAGAGGUACGGGGAUCAAUACCUCGCAUCUCCA
This 73-nucleotide transfer RNA is filed under the name Ipomoea nil (Japanese morning glory). It matches the Rfam family "tRNA". From Rfam's summary of the family: Transfer RNA (tRNA) molecules are approximately 80 nucleotides in length. Their secondary structure includes four short double-helical elements and three loops (D, anti-codon, and T loops). Lineage: Eukaryota; Viridiplantae; Streptophyta; Magnoliopsida; Solanales; Convolvulaceae. The record is from Rfam by way of RNAcentral.